This 253-nucleotide ribosomal RNA is filed under the name uncultured bacterium. Its description in RNAcentral is "partial 16S ribosomal RNA". It matches the Rfam family "Bacterial small subunit ribosomal RNA", at positions 524 to 776 of the family's 1533-position model. The record is from RNAcentral.
UACAGAGGAGCCAAGCGUUGUCCGGAUUGACUGGGCGUAAAGCGCACGCAGGCGGACGCGCGCGUGGGGUGUGAAAUCUGGCCGCUUAACGGCCAGGCGCCAUCCCAUACGGCGUGUCUGGAGUGAUGCAGAGGUCGAUGGAAUUGCCGGUGCAGUGGUGAAAUGCGUAGAGAUCGGCAGGAACACCCAGGGGGAAACUAGUCGACUGGGCAUCUACUGACGCUGAGGUGCGAGAGCGUGGGGAGCGAACCGG